GGGCACGUGGGUGAGUGGCUGAAACCAGUCCCCUGCUAAGGGACCAUACGGGGUGACUCGUAUCGAGGGUUCGAAUCCCUCCGUGCCCGCCA
RNAcentral lists this transfer RNA (92 nucleotides) under Pacificimonas flava. RNAcentral's name for it is "tRNA-Ser". It matches the Rfam family "tRNA". Rfam says of the family: Transfer RNA (tRNA) molecules are approximately 80 nucleotides in length. Their secondary structure includes four short double-helical elements and three loops (D, anti-codon, and T loops). The record is from RNAcentral. RNAcentral also lists the same sequence under 1 other name. Lineage: Bacteria; Pseudomonadati; Pseudomonadota; Alphaproteobacteria; Sphingomonadales; Sphingosinicellaceae.